RNAcentral lists this ribosomal RNA (392 nucleotides) under uncultured bacterium. RNAcentral describes it as "bacterial SSU rRNA". It matches the Rfam family "Bacterial small subunit ribosomal RNA", at positions 28 to 428 of the family's 1533-position model. The record is from RNAcentral.
GACGAACGCUGGCGGCGUGCUUAACACAUGCAAGUCGAACGAUGAAGCCUUUCGGGGUGGAUUAGUGGCGAACGGGUGAGUAACACGUGGGUAAUCUGCCUUGCACUCUGGGAUAAGCCUGGGAAACUGGGUCUAAUACCGGAUAUGACUACUUCACGCAUGUGGGGUGGUGGAAAGUUCUGGCGGUGUGAGAUGAACCCGCGGCCUAUCAGCUUGUUGGUGGGGUGAUGGCCUACCAAGGCGACGACGGGUAGCCGGCCUGAGAGGGCGACCGGUCACACUGGGACUGAGACACGGCCCAGACUCCUACGGGAGCAGCAGUGGGGAAUAUUGCACAAUGGGCGAAAGCCUGAUGCAGCGACGCCGCGUGAGGGAUGACGGCCUCGGUGUAA